This 492-nucleotide ribosomal RNA is filed under the name uncultured bacterium. RNAcentral's name for it is "partial 16S ribosomal RNA". It matches the Rfam family "Bacterial small subunit ribosomal RNA", at positions 29 to 507 of the family's 1533-position model. The record is from RNAcentral.
AGUGAACGCUGGCGGUAGGCCUAACACAUGCAAGUCGAACGGCAGCACAGUAAGAGCUUGCUCUUACGGGUGGCGAGUGGCGGACGGGUGAGGAAUACAUCGGAAUCUACUUUUUCGUGGGGGAUAACAUAGGGAAACUUACGCUAAUACCGCAUACGACCUACGGGUGAAAGCAGGGGAUCUUCGGACCUUGCGCGAUUGAAUGAGCCGAUGUCGGAUUAGCUAGUUGGCGGGGUAAAGGCCCACCAAGGCGACGAUCCGUAGCUGGUCUGAGAGGAUGAUCAGCCACACUGGAACUGAGGCACGGUCCAGACUCCUACGGGAGGCAGCAGUGGGGAAUAUUGGACAAUGGGCGCAAGCCUGAUCCAGCCAUACCGCGUGGGUGAAGAAGGCCUUCGGGUUGUAAAGCCCUUUUGUUGGGAAAGAAAAGCAGCAGGUUAAUACCCCGCUGUUCUGACGGUACCCAAAGAAUAAGCACCGGCUAACUUCGUG